RNAcentral lists this ribosomal RNA (254 nucleotides) under uncultured bacterium. RNAcentral's name for it is "partial 16S ribosomal RNA". It matches the Rfam family "Bacterial small subunit ribosomal RNA", at positions 524 to 776 of the family's 1533-position model. The record is from RNAcentral.
UACGUAGGGGGGCAAGCGUUGUCCGGAUUUAUUGGGCGUAAAGAGCGUGUAGGCGGCCAGGUAGGUCCGCUGUGAAAACUCGAGGCUCAACCUCGAGAUGUCGGCGGAAACCAUCUGGCUAGAGUCCGGAAGAGGAGAGUGGAAUUCCUGGUGUAGCGGUGAAAUGCGCAGAUAUCAGGAAGAACACCCGUGGCGAAGGCGGCUCUCUGGGACGGUACUGACGCUGAGACGCGAAAGCGUGGGGAGCGAACAGG